UCAGACCCAAACCCGAUUCCCCGAUGCACCGACACACGCACGAUCUAAAAUUCCUCCUCCUGCGGCGGCGGCGGCGGCCCAGAUCCCUCAACCAAGAGCUGGGCGAGUACGACCAAUGGAGGCGUGUUCCAGUGGGGAAGCACCUCAGAGCUGAUCAGAUCGGAGAGGAGCAGAUCGGAUGACUCCUGGCCGUUGUGUCGCCGCCCACCCGGUUAUGCAGAGCAGAUCCGAGCUCGCCGGCUACUAAGCUCCGCCCUACUUUGUGCUCGUCACUGGUCACUGCCUCCCCAUCCGAGGUUCCAGGAGCGGUGGGUUCGUCGCUUCCUCCUUCACCUCGUCGGCUGCAAGCAGAUAGCAAUGCAGUUCAUUAGCAGAUACAAACUGGGAUUAGCAGCACAAGAAGCUCAAUGAGCAAGAAGCACUCGGUGAGCAUGAAGCACAAGAUGCAAAGGCUGUAGCUUUUAUGUGAUGUACCACCAAGAUAGUAAUGCAGCUUUUAAUGGCCGUGCUUGUUGGGUUGUGAUUAUUUUAGUCUACUUAGUCUUACCCGUGUUGUAACAAAAGUAAUCCUCUCAUGCUAUGUAGCAUUUGAUAUGUAUGUAUCUCUUCUGUUUGUGUCUUAUAUGGGAUCGUCAGGUUUGAAAUGUAUGCUUAGGUAUGCUUGAAGUGGGUGGUUAAAUUUGUCA
Molecule: long non-coding RNA, 686 nt
Organism: Triticum dicoccoides
Lineage: Eukaryota; Viridiplantae; Streptophyta; Magnoliopsida; Poales; Poaceae
Exons: 2
Source: RefSeq, a predicted model, not a curated record